Phrynosoma platyrhinos (Desert horned lizard) is the source of this 72-nucleotide non-coding RNA. NCBI's taxonomy places the organism in Eukaryota, Metazoa, Chordata, Lepidosauria, Squamata, Phrynosomatidae. The record is from the annotation of a GenBank genome assembly.
GCCAGUGUGGUGUAGUGGUUUCAGUACUGGAUUACAACUCUGGAGACAAGAGUUCAAAUCCCUUCUUGGCCA